Molecule: ribosomal RNA, 481 nt
Filed under: uncultured soil bacterium
Lineage: Bacteria
Description: bacterial SSU rRNA
Rfam family: Bacterial small subunit ribosomal RNA
Source: RNAcentral
AGAUUGAACGCUGGCGGCAGGCCUAACACAUGCAAGUCGAGCGGCAGCGCGGGUACUUGUACCUGGUGGCGAGCGGCGGACGGGUGAGUAAUGCCUAGGAAUCUGCCUGGUAGUGGGGGAUAACGCUCGGAAACGGACGCUAAUACCGCAUACGUCCUACGGGAGAAAGCAGGGGACCUUCGGGCCUUGCGCUAUCAGAUGAGCCUAGGUCGGAUUAGCUAGUUGGUGAGGUAAUGGCUCACCAAGGCGACGAUCCGUAACUGGUCUGAGAGGAUGAUCAGUCACACUGGAACUGAGACACGGUCCAGACUCCUACGGGAUGCAGCAGUGGGAAUAUUGGACAAUGGGCGAAAGCCUGAUCCAGCCAUGCCGCGUGUGUGAAGAAGGUCUUCGGAUUGAAAGCACUUUAAGUGGAGGAAGGCAGUUACCUAAUACGUAUCUGUUUGACGUUACGACAGAAUAAGCACCGGCUAACUCUGUG